This is a non-coding RNA of Paramuricea clavata, 347 nucleotides long. NCBI's taxonomy places the organism in Eukaryota, Metazoa, Cnidaria, Anthozoa, Malacalcyonacea, Plexauridae. The record is from the annotation of a GenBank genome assembly.
AUAUUCAUGAACACAUAAUCAUUAAAAAAAAUAAAAUAAAAAUAAAUCAUAUGUGCCUUGAUAGUGAGCUUUGUUUGUCGUGUUACCAACCCUCCAAUUAAGAAAUAGUAAGAUAGAAGCUUUGUGGGGAAACUGCUGGUUGUCUUGGCCCCAUUCAGGUUUCCUGUAUAUAGCAGGUUUUUUCUGGCCUCCCUCACUAUCCAGCUAUAGUAUGAGUGAUGGUAACGCCCAAAUAUAUGUCUAACUAUCAUCUGGCAGCAGCUGUCUUGUAUACAAAUACAGCUGUUGUGGGAGUUCGUAUAUGGGGAAUACACAUGCUGUGUAUUUGUGGGGUCGAAGUGUUCCCA